Molecule: long non-coding RNA, 774 nt
Organism: Hyla sarda
Lineage: Eukaryota; Metazoa; Chordata; Amphibia; Anura; Hylidae
Exons: 2
Source: RefSeq, a predicted model, not a curated record
UUAGGCUUAAAAAGUAAGGAAUCUGUUCCUCAACUAGUAACAGAUCUGAUUGAUGAAAAGUUCAAACUGGAUUCUUUGCUAUCUCACAAAUUGUCAUUCAAAGAAAUAAAUAAAGGUUUUGAAAUGUUACGUAAAGGUGAAAGCAUACGUACAGUACUUGAAUUCUGAAACCAUGCAGUGUUCAGCAGAAAGGCCCGCUGAUGAUCCAAGGAGAAAGCGUUGACUUCUAAGAUGUCUUUGAUUUGCUUUAUAAUAUUGUAUUCAUUCUUACUUGACAUCAUAAGAGUAACUGGAUCCUGCUGGGUGAAGACAUGCUAAUCUUUUCAUUGUUCAUUAGAGCUAUAGUACACAACACACAUGUAUAAAAGUUUUGGAGUUAAUCCGUAUUUGUAAAUAGAACACAUGUGAUAAGCAUUUGAUGAAUGUGUGGGGCCAGUUUUAGACAUAGUGUAGAUUUGGGAAAACCAAUAAUGGAGCUACAAAUACAAAACAUUUUUAAAAGGCAGUGUGCAGAGUACUGUAGCCUUUCCAGGGUUACUGCUAGGGUAUUACAAUGUGUGAGUACAAGCCUCAAGGCAAAAACUACUUGUGCCCCUCUGACACAGACUGCUCCCAAUAUUCUCCUUUACGAGGAAAGUGUCUUGGCUUAAUUUCAAUUUACUCACCACAAUUAUUCCCCUUUUGGUGUUCAGUGACAGCUAUAGUGCCCCCUCUUUACAAGAUAGUAGAUAUAGUAAAUGCCCACGCAAAAAAAAAAAAAAAAUGUGCACUUUU